GCCCAGGUGGCGAAAUUGGUAGACGCACUACCUUGAGGUGGUAGCGCCGCGAGGCUUGCUGGUUCAAGUCCAGUCCUGGGCACCA
This 85-nucleotide transfer RNA is filed under the name Bdellovibrio sp. CG_4_9_14_3_um_filter_39_7. Its description in RNAcentral is "tRNA-Leu". It matches the Rfam family "tRNA". Rfam says of the family: Transfer RNA (tRNA) molecules are approximately 80 nucleotides in length. Their secondary structure includes four short double-helical elements and three loops (D, anti-codon, and T loops). Lineage: Bacteria; Pseudomonadati; Bdellovibrionota; Bdellovibrionia; Bdellovibrionales; Pseudobdellovibrionaceae. RNAcentral also lists the same sequence under 3 other names. The record is from RNAcentral.